GUUUUUAUCGUUUAAACAUUUUUUUUUUUUUCCUUCUUUAUAAUAAACAAUUUCCAUUUAAGUAAUGCACUGCUGUUAAAGGAAUUAUUUGUUAAGUCUUUUCUUUAUUCUAACAGUCUGCUUGCCCCACGCUAUCGACAAAUUUUUCAAUUUUGGUUUUUUUCGCAUUUUUAGUCUGAUUAAUUUUUGGCUGAAAGGAAGUUAAAGCCGUCAGAUACGAAUGUCGAGCGCGAAGAGUUGAAUAUCAGAUGAGAGUUUUCAGAUCCGAGCGCUUGGGAAAAAAAAAAAAAAAAAAAUCAUUUGUAAGGCCAAAUGUAUGGGAAUCGCGAGGAAACAUAUAACAUAACGAUAGAUUCAAAUUGAGAAAUUCGAAACACAUUCUGUAGUCCUCUUUGGCGAAUUUUAUCACGUGGAAUUGAUUUAUCGCUUGAUGCAAAGUGCUGCCGUCGGAGAUGCUAUUCACAUAAAUUCUCUUUAAUAUCGCAUUAUGGUUUGGAAAGACAAGAUUUUACUAAUCGUUUUCUCUCCGUGAUUAUGCGUAUACUAAAACCUAUUCGGUCGAAAAUGGUCCUAUUUAUCAUUUAAAUAAUCUCGAUUACAAACACCACCGGAAUCGAUUUUCGGAAUUUUUAUUCUUUGCACCAAACGUGAUUUUGAGUUUUUAGUUUUCGAUGGCGGAUUUUACGAUUUUUAUCUUUAAUAAUGGCGACGACGAUGCUACUGCUGCUGCUGCUGCUGCAAAUGGAGGAGAAUUUUAGACGAAUACGGAUCUAUAUUGUCAAGUGAUCCACUUUCGAAAUUGACAGACGUUGUCUUUCGUAUCUAUCGCAUGGCCAGUUUCGUUUGUUUGUUCGUGAGAAAUCCGAGCCCCGUGCAACUUAUAGGGCAAAGAAUUCAGAUUGAUUGUUUAAGAUGGUGUACUCGAGUCACAGAACAAUUCACGUAUCAGUUUUUAAUUGUUUAGCAGUGGAAAUUUUCGGUUCGAUGACCUCAGCAGUAAUUGGAGAGAAGUUUCGGUCACGGAUGAAAACGUCACCGUCUUGUUGUGUUUUUUUUUUUUUUUUCUUGGAACCAGUACACCGAAAGGUAAAAGUGACCUUCAUCUUGCGAGCUCGAAUUCGAGUUUUUAAUACGUUGAACACAUAUCGAUAAAAAAAAAAGUCUGAGUCGUGUUAGAUAACUGGAGUUUUAAAGUUAGAUCGGAUAAAAAUUUGCCAGUCGAACGAUGGGCAGUAGUAGUAGUAGUAGUAGUAUCAUCAGAAAAUGGAUCUGAACUCUCAAUAGCAGUGAUUCUUAUCAUCAUAUUCGAUCUGAACAAUCGCAAAAUAUCAAAUAAACGAAUCUGUAAGGGAAGUUUAUGCGACAUUAUCCAAUAAAUCGUUAUCAUCAUCAUUCGCUUUCGUAUUAAAUUGCUUACAAAUAAAAUAUAAAUCCGUGUUAUCAUAAAAUGCGUACAGACAUCUAACUCUUAAUAUGCAGAACUUUAAGCGAAAGUUAUACAGCAUUUUGUUCGUGUGAAAGGCAAAACGACUGUGAAUGUUUAGCGUUAAAUAUCUGAGCACUUAAUCUAAAACUACGUUCAUCAAAUGCUGCCCUACAUUAUGUGAAAAACCGCACCAACCUAUUUUUAUUAUUGUUAUUCUUGCCCUUAAUCAUUCAAUGAAGAUUCUGUACGUAAACUCGUUUUAACGAUGUCAUCCGAAUAAUUUUUCUGUAGAAAACAAGCGAAAAUUUUACAAACUUUGAAGCGAAAUAUUUAAAAAUAUUUCCAACAGAACAUCGCAAAAAAAACAUUUAACAUCCAUUUACU
Molecule: long non-coding RNA, 1810 nt
Filed under: Androctonus crassicauda
Lineage: Eukaryota; Metazoa; Arthropoda; Arachnida; Scorpiones; Buthidae
Source: RNAcentral